UUUUUAGACAUUCCUUGUACUGCUCCCAUCAUGGUAGUCUGUCUGGCCCAGAGUAUGGUGCAGAGGAGCGGCCGCUGGCUCCUGCCGUUCCCUACUGCCCUGUCUCUGGUCUACACCAGGGCUGCAGGAGGCACCCCUUCUCCCUCAGUCGCCCAACCGUCCACCUCCCAGGAUAAGAUUCGGACCGAGGAUGACCUCCCCAAGAUUAAAACCAGGGAGAUGUUGUACAGAUUGUAUGUCCAAGGCUACUACAAGCGUCUACACGAGCUACAGGUGUAUGAGAAGCAGCUGUACGGCCCCAUGUACAAAAUAGGCAUAGGCAGCAUUAACUCCGUUGCUCUCAACAGUGUGGAGCUACUGGAGGAGCUGCUUAGGAAGGAUGAGAGGUUCCCCAGCCGAGGAGACAUGUCCCUCUGGACAGACUACCGGGACCUGAGGGGCAUUGGUUACGGCCCCUUCACUGAGGAAGGGGUGAAGUGGUACAAUCUGAGGACUGUGCUGAACAAGCGCAUGCUGCACCCUAAAGACUCGGUGCAGUACGGAGACGUGGUCAACGAGGUGGUCAGCGACCUGAUCAAGAGGAUCUACCACCUACGCCGGACCAGCGCCACGGGAGACCGGGUGAACAACCUGUCCAAUGAGCUCUACCGAUUCUCUCUGGAGGGAAUCUCUUCCAUCCUGUUUGAGACUCGGAUCGGCUGUCUGGAGGAAGAGAUCCCGGUGGAGACGCAGCACUUCAUCGAUUCCAUCGCUCAGAUGUUCUCCUACAACUUGCUGGUGGCCAUGCUGCCCAAGUGGAGCCGCAACAUCCUGCCAUUCUAUGGGCGCUACAUCGCUGGCUGGGAGGGCAUCUUCAAAUUCUCUGUGAAGUUUAUUGAGAUGAAGAUGGAGGCAAUUCAGAAGCGAGUGGACACAAACCAGGACGUUGAGGGAGAAUACUUAACGUACCUCCUCUCCAAUACAAAGAUGACCAAUAAGGAGGUGUACGGCAGCGUCGCUGAGCUGUUAUUGGCUGGAGUUGAUACCACAUCCAAUACCAUGAUGUGGGCGAUGUACCUGCUGUCCAGGGACUCCAAUGUGCAGAACACCCUUUAUCAGGAGGUGUCACGCUGUGUACCAGGAGACAACAUUCCAUCUGCUCAAGAUGUCAACUGCAUGCCAUACCUCAAGGCUGUAAUAAAGGAAACACUAAGAAUGUACCCUGUUGUCCCCCUGAACUCACGCAUCAUGGCAGAGAAGGAUGUCAUUAUUGGCGGACAUUUUUUCCCCAAGAAGGUUAAUCUCUCUUUAGGGAAACAACCAACUUUCAAACUUCGUUUACAAUGUGCCACUACGCCAUCAGCCAAGAUGAAAAGACAUUCCCAGAACCAUCGAAGUUCAAGCCUGAACGAUGGUUGAGGGAUGGCCGAGUCCGGCCAAACCCCUUUGGCUCUAUCCCAUUUGGUUUUGGGGUUCGGGGUUGCGUAGGUCGUCGGAUAGCUGAACUGGAGAUGUACCUGGCUUUGUCACGGAUAAUCAAGCUAUUUGAAAUCAGACCGGACCCCAGCAUAAGAGAGGUGAAAGCUCUCAAUCGCUCCGUCUUAGUAGCAGACAGGCAAGUCAAUCUGCACUUCCUGGAGAGGACGGACAAAGCUGCCCUUUGAUAUGUUAAAGACAGGUGAUAGCCAUUUGUCACCAAGCAGCCUACAAUAUCUAUCGCUGAAUGUAAUUAAAAAUACACUACAGUUCAAAGGUUUAGGGUCAAUUAGAAAUGUCCUUGUUUUAUAAAGAUAAGCACAUUUUUUUGUCCAUUUAAUAUAACAUCAAAUUGAUCAGAAAUACAGUGUAGACAUUGAUAAAGUUGUAAAUGGCUAUUGUAGCUGGAAACGGCUGAUUUGUUUUUUAAAAUGGAAUAUCUACAUAGGCGUACAGAGGCCCAUUAUCAGCAACCAUCACUCCUGUGUUCCAAUGGCACGUUGUGUUAGCUAAUCAAGUUUAUCAUUUUGAAAGGCAAAUUGAUCAUUAGAAAACCCUUUUGUAAUUAUGUUAGCACAGCUGAAAACUGUUGUUCUCUUUUAAAGAAGUAAUAAAACUGUCCUUUAGACUAGUUGAGUAUCUGGAGCAUCAGCAUUUGUGGGUUCGAUUACAGGCUCAAAAUGGCCAGAAACAAAUUACUUUCAGAAACAAAUAACUUUCUUCUGAAAAUCGUCUGUCUAUUCUUGUUCUGAGAAAUUAAGGCUAUUCCAUGCGAGAAAUUGGCAAGAAACUGAAGAUCUCGUACAACACUGUGUACUACUUCCCGAUGCACAACUGAGCAAGAGGACAAGUGCAUUAGAGUGUCUAGUUUGAGAAACAGAUGCUUCACAAACCCUCAACUGGCAGUUUCAUUAAAUAGUACCCGCAAAACACCAGUCUCAAUGUCAACAGUGAAGAGGUGACUCCGGUAUGCUGGCCUCCUCGGCAGAGUUCCUCUGUCCAGUGUCUGUGUUCUUUUCCCCAUCUUAAUCUUUUCUUUUUAUUGCCCAGUCUGAGAUAUGGCUUUUUCUUUGCAGCUCUGCCUUGAAGGCCAGCGUCCCGGUAUCGCCUCUUCACUGUUGAUGUUAAGACUGGUGUUUUGCGGGUACUAAACACAAUACCCCAUAAUGCCAAAGUCUCAUUAUAUUUUUUCCAAAUUAAUUAAAAAACAAAAGAUGAAAGGUCUUAAGACAAUAAGUAUUUAACCCCUUUGUUAUGGCAAGCUUAAAUAAGUUCAGGAGUACAAAUGUGCUGAACAAGUCACUGUGUGCAAUAAUAUUGUUUAACAUGAUUUUUAAAUGACUACCCCAUCUCUGUACCCCAAAAUCUAUAGCAAAACUUGAAGAUCGUUGUCUAGUAAUAAUCAACUUCCAACUUGACAGUUUUCUUGUGGUUUUUAUGGAAAGUGUUCUUAACCUUUUCAGAACAAUUUGAGAAGAUGACUUUAAAUAGAACCAUGAGAACCAUGAGGAAAAUAGAACCAUGAGGAAAUUCCCACAGAAGAAUGUUGUUUCUUAACAUUCUCAAAACUAUUUGAGAACAUUCCCAAUGUCAAACCAGUUGGAGAACAUUCUUAGAAAAUUAACAAAAUUGAAAUUAAAUGUAACCAUCUUAUACUUUUAGGAAAUGUUUUGUUAAGGUAAUGAAAUACCAAGAAAAUAUACUGAACAAAAAUAUAAUUGCAACAUGCAACAAUUUCUAUGAUUUUACUGAGUUACAGUUCAUAUAAUGAAAUCAGUCAAUUGAAAUUAAUUAAUUAUAUCCUAAUCUAUGAAUUUCACAUGACUGGGCAGGGGUGCCGCCAUGGGUGGGCCUGGGAGGGCAUAGGCCCACCCAUUUGGGAGCCAGGCGCAGCCAAUCAGAAUGAGUUUUUCCCCACAAAAGGGCAUUAUUACAGACAGAAAUACUCCUCAGUUUCAUCAGCUGUCCAGGUGGCUGGUCUCAGACGAUCCCGCAGGUGAAGAAGCCGGAUUUGGAGGUCCAGGGCUGGCAUGGUUACACGUGGUCUGCAUUUUGUGAGGCUGGUUGGACGUUCUAAAAAAAAAUCUAAGACAACAUUGGAGGUGGCUUAUGGUAGAGAAGUUAACAUUCAAUUAUUUGGCAAUAGCUCUGGUGGACUUUUGUUCAGUCAGCAUGCCAAUUGCACGCUCUCUCAAAACUUGUGACAUCUGUGGCAUUGUGUUGUGUGAUAAAACUGCACAUUUUAGAGUGGCCUUUUAUUGUCCCAUGCACAAGCUGCAUGUGUGUAAAGAUUGUUGUUUAAUCAGAUUCUUGAUGUGCCACACCUGUCAGGUGGAUGGAUUAUCGUGGAAAAGGAGAAAUGCUCACAAACAGGGAUGUAAACAAAUGUGUGCUCAAAAUUUGAGAGAAAUACACUUUAUGUGCGAAUGGAAAAUGUGUAGGAUCUUUUAUUUCAGCUCUUGAAACGAGCACUUUACAUGUUAUUUAUAUUUUUGUUCAGUGUACAAUUUUUUUGUUGUCAAGUUCCUUAAAAUGUGCUGAGAAUGUUCCAACACCAAGAAACUAUCCUGCACCAUUAUCAGAAAGUUGUGGGAAGGUUGUAUGCAAAAUAACCAUCGGCCACGCCUUAAGAAACAUAUGGUUCUCAGAACGUUAUGUACUAGUUGGUUUAGUUGGGGUUCAGCGGUCUUCUAUGUUGGGAAUUCUGAUAAGGCUUUACAAUGACUCAUUAAAAUGUAGGCUACUAUAUAAAUUGCUAUAUCUAGACCACAAUGCUUUGUUUUCAUUUUAAAUUGAAAAAAUAUAUAUAUUCUCUCUAUGGAAAGUCUGUUCUAUAUUUAAAUUAAAUAAAUUCACUACAAUGAUGUUGUAAACUUGA
Molecule: RNA transcript, 4333 nt
Organism: Oncorhynchus keta (chum salmon)
Lineage: Eukaryota; Metazoa; Chordata; Actinopteri; Salmoniformes; Salmonidae
Gene name: sterol 26-hydroxylase, mitochondrial-like
Exons: 9
Source: RefSeq, a predicted model, not a curated record